This 253-nucleotide ribosomal RNA is filed under the name uncultured bacterium. Its description in RNAcentral is "partial 16S ribosomal RNA". It matches the Rfam family "Bacterial small subunit ribosomal RNA", at positions 524 to 776 of the family's 1533-position model. The record is from RNAcentral.
UACAGAGGUCCCAAGCGUUGUUCGGAUUCACUGGGCGUAAAGGGUGCGCAGGUGGUCGGGUAAGUCUGACGUGAAAUCCCGCAGCUUAACUGCGGAAUGGCAUUGGAUACUAUUCGGCUAGAGGGUUGGAGGGGGGACUGGAAUUCUCGGUGUAGCAGUGAAAUGCGUAGAUAUCGAGAGGAACACCUGCGGCGAAGGCGGGUUGCUGGGCCGACACUGACGCUGAUGCGCGAAAGCGUGGGGAGCGAACAGG